CGCACGCUCGUGUCGAUAUCAGUGUAAAAGCUGUACGCGAGAAUUGAUUAUGAUGGACAUUGUGGAUCGGGAUCUUGUCGCGAGCAAAUUCUGUGAGGUGUAACUACCAAUAAAGAAAGAUGGAAGUGUAUCUGCUGGUCCUUCCCGGAGUACGCGUUAUAUUCAUAUACGCAAAUAUAUUCAACUAUUUUAAAGUAUAUAUCGCUAUCUACAUAUAUAUGUAAUUUCGUUUCUAUACCAAUACAUUUAUAUAUGCACUUAUAUAUUUACAUAUAUAUACAUAUAUAUAUAUCUCUAAUAUAAUCCUGGAAAAAAUGAUGAACAACAUUCGAUUCCUAAAAAGUAAAAUGAUCGGAGGGAUACAGAUAUGGAUAUGGAAAACGAUCGAUGUUGGAAAUCAAGAAGAUAAAAGGAUUCAAAAGCAGAAAGGAAAGAUGAAAGAAAAAGAAAAUUCCCCGAAACAUUAGCAUGGAUUCAAAACUACUGAUAAAUUUGUGAUGGGAUUUCCGCGGAAGAAAUGAUUGUCAUGGUGAAAAAAAUAGUGGGAAAAUAAUUUAAGUGAUUUAAAAGAAGUUACAAGCUAUUUUACGUGAGUUUGACAAGCUUAUUCUAAAUCAAGACGGCAAAAUGAUCACUGCUAAUUAGUUCCGAAAGAAUAACGACGAUCUGGAAAAAAGAACCAUCAUCCAAACGGAAGUAACCGAAAAAAUGCCUGUAAUUCUGGAGUCGAUGUUGAGAAUCGCUGGUGAUAGUUUGCACUUCGUGUUCUGGUGAGAUCGUUCCAACGUCUCCCGUCGGAGGACCAAGGAGACAAACACAGAAACGACGUCAAACAAAGAUUAUUUUAUAUUAUUAUUAGAUGAUCUCAACGCUUCAGAAUUCAAAAAAAAAAAAAGCUUUUUUACGUUUAACUCGCGAUCCUUGUUUUGUAACGCUUAAGCGAACUUACUGUGUUUAAAUAUUAAUGCCCGCUAAUGUAUUAGAAUGUUAUUUGAUUUAUAUGAAUUUUUAGACAUUUAGGAUCACAUUGUUUUACAAAAAAUCAGAACUUUAUUCCUUAUGAUUUUUUAGCGGAGAAAAAAUUUUACAGAAGGUCCUUUUCAUUAUCUUUUUCAUUAUUAUCCUUAUCAAUGAGAUAUCUUUGUUUUUUUGGCGAUUUCCCUGAGGCGAUAUCCAGAUGCAAAGGGUGAAAAUGAAAAUUAAAAAAUAAACUGAAAUCGACAAAGAAAUUAAUAUUGAAAAGUAAUUAUUAAAAUCAAAGAGGAAAUUUGAAAUGAAAAAAUAAGAAAAAAAUCAAGAAAGAAUUAAAAUUAAAAAAUAAAAUUUUUAACUAAAAUUAGAAAAAAAACAAUCCAAUAUUCUUUCUCAAAUUUGUAUUGAAAAUAAUUUGAUUCAAUGUUAAUCUAAAAUAAUUUUUUCCAAUUUUUAUUUUUUAUUUCUUUUUAUAUUAAAUUAUUUUUUAAUUUCCAUUUUUCCAAUAAAUUUAAAAAAAUUCCUCUAAAAUCAAAAAUAAAAUAAAUGUGUUAUUGAUUUAUCAAUAAUUUAAUUUGUUUUCAACGUUUAUGGAAUCGCAGAUAAAUACAGGUAGAUGGAAGGUAUCCGAAUGCGUAUAUAAAUAUAUAGGAAUGUGAAUGUAAUAAUCUAUGACUUCAUGAUAUAUAAAUGUAUGUGUCUAUGUAUAUCUAUACAUAUAUCUAUAAUCUAUGUAACGUUUGAAACUAUUACGAAAAGUAUAUUCAUGUGUGUAAUGCAUUUACGAAGGACUAACAAAACCAGUUCCAACUUACGAAACUCCCUACAAAACAAAAGUAAUCCAUAAUAUUACAUGAUAAUUGACAGAUUGGCACAAAAAAAAUUCAAACAUGAUUUAUAUUACCAAGUAUAUACUAUUCUUGGCAAUAAUAGUAUCUUUCAUGGAACUUCUUAUAACUUGUCAUUGCGAAUGAAAUCAGAAUGAACAGUUAGUCCAACACUCGCUAAUAUCGAUUAUGUAUACCCAUUCAAUGAAUAAAAUCAACUAAAAUAUAAAA
Molecule: long non-coding RNA, 2030 nt
Organism: Vespula vulgaris
Lineage: Eukaryota; Metazoa; Arthropoda; Insecta; Hymenoptera; Vespidae
Exons: 4
Source: RefSeq, a predicted model, not a curated record